Molecule: long non-coding RNA, 4947 nt
Organism: Mirounga angustirostris (Northern elephant seal)
Lineage: Eukaryota; Metazoa; Chordata; Mammalia; Carnivora; Phocidae
Exons: 2
Source: RefSeq, a predicted model, not a curated record
CAGUGGGUCGCCCUUUCAGAAACCCCACAUGCUUGUCUCUGGAGGUGUCAUCUGACGUGUGUGUCACUCUGCCCUCCAGUUCAGGGGUGCCUGUGACACGUGCUUAGCGGCUGCCUCUGCGUGGUGUGCUGAGUCCCGGCACACGUGACGCGGAGGUGGACGUGUAGGGCACGCAGGUGCAGACGUGGAGCCUGUGUUGACAAGGUGAGGGCGGGUUCCGGCGUAGCUUCAACAGGGCAGCGUAGGUGAGGAAGGCAGAAACCACAGGGUGGAGUUGCUUUUCGCACUGCAGGGCUGCCCGCUGCUCCCCUCCACCCUCCGCCCUCCGCAGGUAGGUGUGCGAAGGCACACGUAGGCAGGCUGCCUCACACAUCUCUGCCAUGUUUGCUACCAAAGGAAGCAUGUUAGAAGCACAUAAUUUGAGAGAACUUCAUUUCAGGAAGAGGCAAAACAGACUGGAUCUGCUACUUAAGACUCAUGUGAAAGAAAGGUUUUGGAGCAGGUGGCUGCCGGCACGAAGGAUCGAAGAAUUGUCCGGCCAGUACUUUGAGACCCCGUUCAAAGGGGGGCGUUUCCUUUGAAGAAAUGGGAUGGCUUAACCCUCCCCUCCACAGUCGCCGAUGCUUGGUGCAGAUCAGCCGGAGGGGAGCAGAAACUGCUGUGCUGCGUGGGGGGCAGUCUGUCCACGCGGGGCAGCCGGCACCUCCCAGAAGCAUCUGUUCCAAGCAGCACAGCUUGCAAAGUGCCAGCUUAGGCAGAUCAGGCAGCAUCUUUCUGCGCGCCCCGAGCCAAUCACUCAGAUGAGACGAGAGCUGCCCCCUCCUCAGAACUGGAACGGUCCCCAGUGAGGCUGGGGGCCGCCCUGGACGAUGCUGCGACUGGGGCUGCUGCCACAGGCACGUGCACAGCGUGAUCGCAAACGCAGAGGCCUUCGUCCCAACACGUUCUCUGCCAAUGUUAGCCCAGCAAAAGGGACUUCGCCGCCACUGCGAUUCUGUGUGCGGUCGUGGGCGCCUCUGCCUCGGUGUGCCUGCUGUUGGUCCCUGCUGCCCGCGGGCCUCGCCUCCCAGGCCUGGGUCCCCACUUAGAGCACUCGCAUCGCCACGUGGCAGGUUGGUGGCCCCGGGAGGCCUCAGAUCCCCACACCCUGAAUGUGCAAACCCAGAGGCUUGCUUUCCUAAUGUUCUUUAUUUUUUCACCUGAGUAACAUUUGUGCCUAAAAAUGGUGAUGUUGACAUCUCCUGGCGGGCUCCCGGGGGCUGUGUUCUCCGGGAGGUGCCGAGCUCGUGUGUCUGCAGGGUCCAUUGUGUUCCUCACUGUUCGCUUUGGGGACGUGGCCAUUUGACUAACGUGAAAUGAUCCUGGAAGGUCCGCGAGGAGGCAGGCGUGUGACUGCCACUGCCUGUGGUUCUUGGGGUUGUGUUUUUAAAGAGGCCUUCGACGAAGCCCGGGAGGUUUUGUUCCAACAGAUUCUCGGUGACACGGCCCACACAGCGUCCGGCCCUGGGCGUGUGGGGCCGGGCACCGCUUCACGCUGUGGCCCUGAGCGGACCGUCCUGGCCGCGCUGUGUGGGCCGGGGGUCGGGGGGGCAGCCACCCGUGUGUCCACUGAAUGCUGGAGCUCGCGGGGCCGCAGGCCCGCCCCAUUCACACCUCAGUUGGUGCUGAUUUGAAGUGAAGGCAGAAAUGUUGCAACUACAUGAUCCUGAGAUCUGAACUAAACACUAAUUGUUCCUGUGAUGGGUGGGAAGACCCAGUUCCCCGUUGAGGGGCUGCCCUUCCACCGGGUACCUGCAGGGCAGCAGGUGCCUAAAAGACUCCAGCUGCAUGUAGGGGGUUCCCUGGACGCCUCCCCCCCUUCUCACGUGUUGCACACUCCAGAGGGAAGCCUCGGGGGCAGGAAGGGGUCCCGGUGGAUUCUUGAGGCCAGCAGAGAAGAGAAGAGAGAAGGGCAGGCUCCUGACUGAGGGUUCUAAUUUCUUGGGCCAGGGAGUUUUCCCUCGUCGUGGGUUUGGGAUUGGGAGAUUGCCCUGGGCUUCCCGGGAGCAUGGCCCUGCUGACCUGGAUGCUGUAUUCUGUCCUCGAGCCUUUGGGGGGCUUUCAGAAGCUCCACACACCCCUGGGGCACAGCUGGCUGUCGUCCGUCUCGGGGCCAUGGGCCUGGGUUCAGCACAGCGGCAACCCUCUCAGCGUCACCCACGCCCACAGCUGUGUCUGGAGUGGCCCCGGUGGCCCAGCCAGCAGGGCAGGUGGCUGGCGCUUGGGCACUUCUGAGCUGAGCUGCCUUUGAGGAUCUUUCCCCAGAGGGGACUUGGGUCCCCACAUAAGAAUUCUUGUUCCAUGUCUUAUGUUUCCAUUUGAUCAAGCCUAAAAUCGGAAGUAAAACUAGAUUAUAGGAUUCAAAAAGAUGAACAGGUUCUCUAGGUGUGGCCCACUCUUGGGAAUCCUCAACUACAUAGGAUUUGGGUUCACAUCCAAGGCCAGAAAGUGGAAAGACCUGAAUUAGGCAUGGCAGCGUUUGGGACAGCAGGUGGUGAUACCCCACCGGUGUGUCCUCGGGGCUGUUCGCUCAGCAUCUCUGAAAUAGGCUUGCUUUUACUGGGCGAAAAUCAGUUUGGUCCAGCCAGGGCCUGACCCUGCCGCCAUGAGCAUGUUAACCCCUAUGGUGGGUGUAAGGGGAGCCCAGGGGCCCCCCAGGGUGAAGCUUCUGGCUUCCCCUGGUUGCAGAGUGGGAACACUUGGGGCCUGUGGGGCAGUGGCACUCUGACAAGGUCUGAAUUGUUCGUUGGAUGGUUAAGACCCCCGAGUGUUUCAAGAGGAUCCUUUCUGUGCUCCCUGUGGUGGGACACAGAGCACCAGGUCUCUCCCUGGGCCCUCCCACCCUCCAGGUGCCCCCAGAUCUGUGCCGGCCUCGCAGCUGUGGGAGGGGGUGGUUGGACGGACGGACUCACGUGCUCCUUCACCUGUUGCAGGUGAGAGCAUGAAGACACGUGCCUUCUGAAGGCCAGGGGCUAGGAGAGCAUGGUGGCUCCUCGGCCUCAGACCACGUUGCUCAGCGGGGCGGGGGUGGGGGGCCUCACCCAGAGGUCUGCAUUGCACAAGAGCCAGAAUGCGUACCUGUGGCUUCAUCCCCAUCUCCUCGGCCUUCAGGAGGUAUCUCAGGUUCAUGUGGAGGCUGAAGCUUCACUAGGAGCCUCCCCCCGAUCCACCCCAGGGCACUUUUGGUCAGGGUGCUGGGGAGAGGGGGCGCCCGCAUGCCACAUCCUAUGCCCCCACCCACCUAGGAACCCAGUUUCCUAGUCCGGUCAAGGGAGCUCGUUUCUCAGGAGGGUGUGACCUGCUGGUGAGACUCUGGCCUCCUGCCCUGCCGUCCCUGGCGGCGCCGUCCUGCCUUUGGGAGUUGGCUGGCCGCUCACUCAACACGGGCAGCCAGGCUGGUGGCUGGUCCAGGCCUGUGUGUGCUGGGGUAUCUCGCUGCACUCUGGUGGCUGUCACAUCCUGUUCCUGUCCUCGCGUGGUUUCCAGGGGGGCUCUGGAGCGGCCGGUGGGUUUGUGGGUUCAUCUCCAAGGGCUCCUAGCUUGUCCACUUCCACCUGGCCCAGCCCGGGCCUUGCAUCACUGUUGUUUGCCAGAAGACAGUCCAAAUGGGCUACUGUUGCUACUUUCCUCAUCCACUGCUGAGGGUUGGGGUUUGAUCCCUGAACUAGGCACUUUUUCUUUCGUUUGUUCUUCUUCUAUAUAAAUCACUGAGGCUUAAGUAAAGGAGGGGCAGUUUGGCGGGGCCCUAGGGGCACUGCUGCGAGCGCCUAGUGGCCCCAUCCCUCCUCAAGGGCGGGGCCUGGGAGCCAGAGGCGAGCUGCAAGCCGCAUGCCCCUGGGUGGCGGUCUGUCUCCCGGGACGCGCUGGAGCUCGGCAGUCUUCGUCCUGCCGGCGGAGUUCGGGCAGCGGGACCAAGGGCCCUCCUGACUGCUUCGGCCGCCUCUGUCCUCCCUGUUCACACAGGGGCCUGUUCCGAGCCGUGUCUUCACACUGGACUCGGACGCCAAGCGCGUGAAGGGCCGAGUGCUGCUUGGCCUGCGUGUGGGCUCACAGCCGCCCCGGGUGGGCGCAGAGUGGGGCAGGGGGGUGGGGGCGGGAGGGGGUGGGCCGGCAGCGGGCCCAGCCCAGGGACAUGCAUCAUGGGUGGGACGCUUGGCUAAAAAAUGACCAGAUGGAAAAGCACCUCCCGGCUAACAGUCACAUGUCUUUUCAACUUAGAACUCUUCUGUAGACCGCUUGAAUACAUUCUGGAAGUUCUCUAGAAAGGCAGGAAAUGUAUUUUGAAUAAUAGGAGCUUAAGCAAAUUGUUGUAACUUAACAUCUGGGAAAGCCAUUAAAUGUAUCACUCAGAAAUCCUCAGUCAGCUAGUCUAUGUCUCUUUAAACAGAAUUAAUGAGGUGCUUAUCCCCAGCUGUCAGGAACGACCUUUAGAGACCAUGGCCCCGUCUUUAGGGCCUUUGUCCCAGUCUCUUUGAGGGCGAUGAACCCUACCCCUGGGGCCCUGAGUAUAGACCGGGCCACUGGGGUUGGGUGGGGGUAGGCCGCACACCUCUGCUGUGCGUGUCCCCUCAGCCCCGCGGGACUCUGGGCCCUCUAGGCUCUGGGCCUCCCUCACUCUCUGUUUUCAGUUAACCUGGGGCUUCUGCCCCCUGCACCCUCUUCUUGCUGCUGAAGUUCCCUUUCUUGGUGGUUUCCAGAUUUUUCUGGUACUGCUGUAACUGAGCAGAUUUGGGGAGACUGGCUUUGUCUUUGCUGAAGAGCUUGUGCUCAGUGUGAAUGGUCACCGAGUUGCUGCAGGAGGAGUCAAAGCAGCAGGUUGAAGAAAGGAGAGCGAAGGUUGCAGAUAUCAGGUCUCUGCUUUCUGGAAAGGGGUUGGUGUGAAGGCUGUGGCCAGCCUGGCAGGCUGAG